This 625-nucleotide long non-coding RNA is filed under the name Homo sapiens (human). RNAcentral's name for it is "HSALNT0014530". The record is from RNAcentral. Lineage: Eukaryota; Metazoa; Chordata; Mammalia; Primates; Hominidae.
UAUGUAUAGCGGUGACCAAAUAUCCUAAAAGACAUUGCACUUCAUCAUUCCAUGCCUUCAGACAUUUAAGGGCCAUGGAUGGUGAUCUCCUCCAGAGACAAAAUAAAUGCUGGUGCACAACAGGUGGCCACAGAGUGCAUCUGCUCUGGGGGACCCAUCGCUCAUAUACCCUCCCAUAAGAGCAGGAAAGGGGAUUCAUAAAGACGUUCUUCUGAUGGGGAAUGCUCUACGAGGCCGCCUUCACAUGGUGAGUAGUGACCGUGACACCUCUGCAGCGUCCCUGGUCACUUGUAGCCCCUGAAAGGGUCAUCGGGAGCAGAUCACUUCUUUUCUUCAGGGCUGGAGAAAGUACCUCCGUGCAUUUUCCAGUGUGGAAGAUGAUCAAAGUAUGACAUUUCUUCUACCCCAGAGGCUGGCAUUUCUGCAGGCACAAAUGAGCUUGGUUUUCAAGCACUGCUCUUUGAACACAAGGAAUUCCUUUAAUGAUCACGCCGGACUAUAUAGACUUUGGAAUCAGACUCUUUGAAUUCCAGCUCUGCCAUUUACCAACUUUGACACUUUGGGUAAGUCCUUUUAACCUCUUUAAGCCUCAGUUUCCUUUUCUGCAAACAGGAAUAAUGAUAAC